Molecule: non-coding RNA, 156 nt
Organism: Glycine max (soybean)
Lineage: Eukaryota; Viridiplantae; Streptophyta; Magnoliopsida; Fabales; Fabaceae
Source: Rfam
GACUCUCGGCAACGGAUAUCUCGGCUCUUGCAUCGAUGAAGAACGUAGCGAAAUGCGAUACUUGGUGUGAAUUGCAGAAUCCCGUGAACCAUCGAGUCUUUGAACGCAAGUUGCGCCCGAAGCCAUUAGGCCGAGGGCACGCCUGCCUGGGUGUCA